This 513-nucleotide ribosomal RNA is filed under the name uncultured diatom. Its description in RNAcentral is "SSU rRNA". It matches the Rfam family "Eukaryotic small subunit ribosomal RNA", at positions 451 to 966 of the family's 1831-position model. Lineage: Eukaryota; Bacillariophyta. The record is from RNAcentral.
CUGACACAGGGAGGUAGUGACAAUAAAUAACAAUGCCGGGCCUUUCUAGGUCUGGCAAUUGGAAUGAGAACAAUUUAAAUCCCUUAUCGAGGAUCAAUUGGAGGGCAAGUCUGGUGCCAGCAGCCGCGGUAAUUCCAGCUCCAAUAGCGUAUAUUAAAGUUGUUGCAGUUAAAAAGCUCGUAGUUGGAUUUCUGGUGGGAGCGGUCGGUGCGGUCCUCAGGAUUGCUACUCGUACCGUCUCUCGCCAUCCUUGGGUCGAUCCUGUCUGGCAUUAAGUUGUCGGGCAGGGGAUGCCCAUCGUUUACUGUGAAAAAAUUGAGUGUUCAAAGCAGGCUUAUGCCGUUGAAUAUAUUAGCAUGGAAUAAUAAGAUAGGACUUUGGUACUAUUUUGUUGGUUUGCGCACCAAAGUAAUGAUUAAUAGGGACAGUUGGGGGUAUUCGUAUUCCGUUGUCAGAGGUGAAAUUCUUGGAUUUCCGGAAGACGAACUACUGCGAAAGCAUUUACCAAGGAUG